GAUGAACGCUGGCGGCGUGCCUAAUACAUGCAAGUCGAACGAACAGACGAUGCGCUUGCUCCUCGGACGUUAGCGGCAGAGGGGUGUGUAACGCGUGGAUAACCUACCUGUCAGACUGAUAUAACUUCGGGAAAGCGGAUCUAAUACCGGAUAAUAUCUUGAACCGCAUGGGUGAAUGGUGAAAUACGGUUUUGGUGUCUCGUAUCGAUGGAUCUGAGCCGCAUUAGCUAGUUGGUAAGGUCACGGCUUACCAAGGCAACGAUGCGUAGCCGACCGGAGAGGCGGGUCGGCCACACUGGAACUGAGACACGCACCAGACUCCUACGGUAGGCAGCAGUAUGGAAUCUUACGCAAUGGGGGAAAGCCUGACGGAGCGACGCGGCGUGAGAGAUGAAGGUCCUGCGAUCGUAAAACUCUGUUAUUAGGUAAGAACAAAUGUGUAAGUAACUAUGCACUUCUUGACGGUAACUAGUCAGAAAGCCACGGCUAACUACGUG
RNAcentral lists this ribosomal RNA (497 nucleotides) under uncultured bacterium. RNAcentral's name for it is "partial 16S ribosomal RNA". It matches the Rfam family "Bacterial small subunit ribosomal RNA", at positions 28 to 507 of the family's 1533-position model. The record is from RNAcentral.